AAACCUUCCGUACAGAAUCCAAGUUAAUAAAUGUAGGAAAAUAACAGGCUGGAGAGAUGGCUCAGCAGUUAAAAGCACCGGCUGAUCUUCCAGAGGACCUGGGAUUUAAUUCCCAGCACCCACAUGGCAGUACAUAACUGUCUGUAACUCCAGUUCCAGGGCUCAAACCCCAAUUCUGGCCUCUUCAGGCACCAGGCACACUCAUGAUGCAGAGACAUACAUCCAGAGCGUGAAGAGAGCAGGCACAGAGCCACCGGUUCCGUCCUGACUGAUGCUGCAAGGCUGAACCCUAUCCUCCCAGGUCUGGGAGUGGGAUGACCGUACAUACUUGGCAGAAGCCCUUCCUGCCCCAGCCUCCCGCGUCCAGCUCCUCUAAGGCUUCACUUUCCCCUGGAACCUAGCAGCCCAGCCCCGGGAAGUCCCUAGCCGCCAGGUUCCAACUUUCCCUCCUCUGGGGGGCGCCGCGCUACCGGGACCUUCUCAGCCAGGGUAGCGAGGCCUGGGCCGACGGGGGGCACGAGAGGGCUCGCGGCCCCCGCGGGGCGCGUGGGUGGCCGGGACGCUGCAGCCUGCGCCCUGCUGGACGCACCGGCUGCCGAGCCCCUGCGGCGCCGCCCAGUCCAGAUUCCCCUAGGUCCGCGUCCUCACCUCGCGGCGACCCUGGCCCCACAAGCCAGCGCGCGUGGGAAAGGGACCGGAGGGUACGUGGGCAACCCUGCCCCCGUUACCUGAGGGGAAGCACACGCCGUUGCAAUGAUCACCAUUGCCGCCCGUCCCGUCCCCUUUCUGGUGAUCGCGGCCGCCGCCACCGAGCAACUGACACAACUAACUAACUACUCGCGGCCGCGGAGUCCACAGCGCGCUCCCGGCCGCUCGCCGUCCACCCAGCCUACCAGUCUGCUCGCUCCUCCCAACCCCGCACGCCGCCCUGCCGCGCGCACCCUCGACCGCUUCGGUUCUUGAGAUAGCGCGCGCGCGCGCACCAAAGCUCGGCGUCUCGGAGCUCUCCACUCCGCCCCAUGGGAGGAGCUGCCAAGAGGCCACGCCUCCCGGCGUGCCAAUA
Molecule: long non-coding RNA, 1063 nt
Filed under: Cricetulus griseus (Chinese hamster)
Lineage: Eukaryota; Metazoa; Chordata; Mammalia; Rodentia; Cricetidae
Description: lncRNA (ENSCGRG00015038876.1)
Source: RNAcentral